Molecule: transfer RNA, 76 nt
Filed under: Candidatus Berkelbacteria bacterium
Lineage: Bacteria; Candidatus Berkelbacteria
Description: tRNA-Val
Rfam family: tRNA
About the family: Transfer RNA (tRNA) molecules are approximately 80 nucleotides in length. Their secondary structure includes four short double-helical elements and three loops (D, anti-codon, and T loops). Further hydrogen bonds mediate the characteristic L-shaped molecular structure. tRNAs have two regions of fundamental functional importance: the anti-codon, which is responsible for specific mRNA codon recognition, and the 3' end, to which the tRNAs corresponding amino acid is attached (by aminoacyl-tRNA synthetases). tRNAs cope with the degeneracy of the genetic code in two manners: having more than one tRNA (with a specific anti-codon) for a particular amino acid; and 'wobble' base-pairing, i.e. permitting non-standard base-pairing at the 3rd anti-codon position.
Source: RNAcentral
GCGCGUGUAGCUCAGUGGUUAGAGCACUACAUUGACAUUGUAGGGGUCCCUGGUUCGAUUCCAGGUACGCGCACCA